Molecule: long non-coding RNA, 451 nt
Organism: Alosa sapidissima (American shad)
Lineage: Eukaryota; Metazoa; Chordata; Actinopteri; Clupeiformes; Clupeidae
Exons: 3
Source: RefSeq, a predicted model, not a curated record
UUGUACUCAUAUUCUUCAGUUUGUGCCAUUUGGAAACUCUGGUCUGGCCUGCUGAAUAAGUGUACAAUCCAUGUCCCACCUGAUGAUGACUCUUUGAAUCUUCAUAUGGAAAGGACAAACUACCUUUCAUAUUUCCAGCUCCAUUACAACCUGCAAGAGCAUCUUGAGAACGGAAAGUGUCGACCAGUGCGUCACACCCCCUUGCCCCAGCAGCUCACACCUCGUGAAAGCUCAGAUGAGAGUAACAGUGAUGAUGAGAGGAGUCAGUGUGGAGAUUCAACAGAUUCAGAUGGAGAGUGUUUUUAGUUAAUUCAAUAAAUAAAUCAUAAUAAAUAAAUAAUAAAAAAUGACAGACAUCUGAUGACCUACAUGUAUGUUGUAAUUGUACUGCCCAUAACUGAACUCAGUGUGAGCAGAGCUUCCAUUUGAGCCUAAUAUUACAGCUCUAUGA